Molecule: ribosomal RNA, 253 nt
Filed under: uncultured bacterium
Lineage: Bacteria
Description: partial 16S ribosomal RNA
Rfam family: Bacterial small subunit ribosomal RNA
Source: RNAcentral
UACGGAGGGGGCUAGAGUUGUUCGGAAUUACGGGGCGUAAAGCGCGUGUAGGCGGAUGUUCAAGUCGGGGGUGAAAUCCCGGGGCUCAACCCCGGAACUGCCUCCGAUACUGGACGUCUGGAGGACGGGAGAGGCGAGUGGAAUGCCGAGUGUAGAGGUGAAAUUCGUAGAUAUUCGGCGGAACACCCGUGGCGAAGGCGGCUCGCUGGUCCGUUUCUGACGCUGAGGCGCGAAAGCGUGGGGAGCAAACAGG